AGCAAAAUUCACCCCAAGGACCUGGAGAAGAGAAAAACCUGCGACCAGCCCUAACUUUUGGGUCCUGACUAUGAGCCAACCUCAGGGACAGUCCAACACCAGUCCCAGCUGUGUGGUAUUUUGGAAAAUACUAUAAUACAGAAAAAGAAACAGACCCAAAACUUAACCACUAUCAACAUCUUCAUAUCAAGUUUUGUAUUCCUUUGUGUCCCACAUAAACGUAUGUGAAUAUC
This is a non-coding RNA of Odocoileus virginianus texanus, 233 nucleotides long. Lineage: Eukaryota; Metazoa; Chordata; Mammalia; Artiodactyla; Cervidae. The record is from RefSeq and is a predicted model, not a curated record.